This 1867-nucleotide ribosomal RNA is filed under the name Acheta domesticus (house cricket). RNAcentral's name for it is "SSU rRNA". It matches the Rfam family "Eukaryotic small subunit ribosomal RNA". Lineage: Eukaryota; Metazoa; Arthropoda; Insecta; Orthoptera; Gryllidae. The record is from RNAcentral.
AGUGAAACCGCGAAUGGCUCAUUAAAUCGGUUAUGGUUCCUUGGACCCAAAAUUUUACUUGGAUAACUGUGGUAAUUCUAGAGCUAAUACAUGCAUUUCAGUCGUGACCCGAAAKGGRAAGGACGCUUUUAUUAGAUCAAAGCCAAUCGGCCGGUUCGYCCGGUCCGUUCCGYYUUGGUGACUCUGGAUAACCUUGGGCUGAUCGCACGGUCUCCGCRCCGGCGACRYRUCYUUCAAAUGUCUGCCUUAUCAACUGWCGAUGGUAGGUUUUGCGCCUACCAUGGUUGUAACGGGURACGGGGAAUCAGGGUUCGAUUCCGGAGAGGGAGCCUGAGAAACGGCUACCACAUCCAAGGAAGGCAGCAGGCGCGCAAAUUACCCACUCCCGGCACGGGGAGGUAGUGACGAAAAAUAACGAUACGGGACUCAUCCGAGGCCCCGUAAUCGGAAUGAGMACACUUUAAAUCYYUUAACGAGUAYCCAUURGAGGGCAAGUCUGGUGCCAGCAGCCGCGGUAAUUCCAGCUCCAAUAGCGUAUAUUAAAGUUGUUGCGGUUAAAAAGCUCGUAGUUKGACYUGUGUCCCACGCUGUCGGUUCACCGCUCGUCGGUGUCCAACUGGCAUGCGUGCGGGACGUCCUGCCGGUGGGCGCGAGCCGAMUGCGGYGGCAGGCGCUCUCGGGCCAGGCUCCGGCGGUGAGCRAUCGCUGUCGGGCCCGGCUCUCGGGGGCGUCGCGGCCUCGUGGAAGGCGGACCCCGAUCUCACCCGCCGCGGUGCUCUUAACUGAGUGUCGUGCGGGCCGGCACGUUUACUUUGAACAAAUUAACGUGCUUAACGCAGGCCUUUGUCUGCCCGAAUAYUCUUGCAUGGAAURAUGKAAUAGGACCUCGGUUCUAUUUUGUUGGUUUUCGGAAGKCGAGGUAAUGAUUAAUKGGGAUUGCCGGGGGCAUCCGUAUUGCGACGUUAGAGGUGAAAUUCUUGGAUCGUCGCAAGACGAACUGGAGCGAAAGCGUUUGCCAAGUAUGUUUUCUUUAAUCAAGAACGAAAGUUAGAGGUUCGAAGGCGAUCAGAUACCGCCCUAGUUCUAACCAUAAACUAUGCCAACUAGCGAUCCGCUGUGUGUCUUAGAUGUCACGGCGGGCAGCCUCCGGGAAACCAAAGUAUUUGGGUUCCGGGGGAAGUAUGGUUGCAAAGCUGAAACUUAAAGGAAUUGACGGAAGGGCACCACCAGACGUGGAGCCUGCGGCUUAAUUUGACUCAACGCGGGGAACCUCAUCAGGCCAGGACACCGGAAGGAUUGACAGAUUGAGAGCUCUUUCUUGAUUCGGUGGGUGGUGGUGCAUGGCCGUUCUUAGUUCGUGGAUUGAUUUGUCUGCUUAAUUGCGAUAACGAACGAGAUCCUACCCUACUAACUAGUCGAAACCGGCAUCCCCUGUGCAGCCGGCGACCAACACUCUUCUUAGAGGGACAAGGCGGCUUCCAGCCGCAGGAAGUGGGGCAAUAACAGGUCUGUAAUGCCCUUAGAUGUUCUGGGCAGCACGCGCGCUACACUGAAGGUAUCAACGUGUGUUUUCCUUGCUCGAGAGGGCCGGGUAACCCGUUGAAACUCCUUCGUGCUAGGGAUUGGGGCUUGCAAUUAUUCCCCACCAACGAGGAAUGCCUAGUAAGCGGGAAUCAUUACUUCCCGCUGAUUAAGUCCCUGCCCUUUGUACACACCGCCCGUCGCUACUACCGAUUGAAUAUUUUAGUGAGGUCUUCGGACCAGCCCGCGGACCCUUCUCAGGGGCCGUAGAGGCCGGAAAGAUGACCGAACUUGAAUAUUUAGAGGAAGUAAAAGUCGUAACAAGGUUUCCGUAGGUGAACCUGCG